GACGAACGCUGGCGGCAUGCCUAACACAUGCAAGUCGAGCGAGCAGAUCCCUUCGGGGUGAAGCUAGCGGCGGACGGGUGAGUAACACGUGGGCAACCUGCCUCAUAGAGGGGAAUAGCCUCCGAAAGGAAGAUUAAUACCGCAUAAGAUUGUAGCUUUGCAUGAAGCAGCAAUUAAAGGAGUAAUCCGCUAUGAGAUGGGCCCGCGGCGCACUAGCUAGUUGGUGAGGUAACGGCUCACCAAGGCGACGAUGCGUAGCCGACCUGAGAAGGUGAUCGGCCACAUUGGGACUGAGACACGGCCCAGACUCCUACGGGAGGCAGCAGUGGGGAAUAUUGCACAAUGGGGGAAACCCUGAUGCAGCAAUGCCGCGUGAGUGAUGACGGCCUUCGGGUUGUAAAGCUCUGUCUUCGGGGACGAUAAUGACGGUACCCGAGGAGGAAGCCACGGCUAACUACGUGCCAGCCGCCGCAGUAA
RNAcentral lists this ribosomal RNA (477 nucleotides) under uncultured bacterium. Its description in RNAcentral is "partial 16S ribosomal RNA". It matches the Rfam family "Bacterial small subunit ribosomal RNA", at positions 28 to 523 of the family's 1533-position model. The record is from RNAcentral.